Molecule: ribosomal RNA, 119 nt
Filed under: Oryzias melastigma (Indian medaka)
Lineage: Eukaryota; Metazoa; Chordata; Actinopteri; Beloniformes; Adrianichthyidae
Source: RNAcentral
CCUAACAGCCCCACCGCCCUGAGCACCCCCCAUCUUGUCUGAUCUUGGAAGCUAAGCAGGGUUAGGGCUGGUUAGUACUUGGAUGGGAGACCGCCUGGGGAUACCAGAUGCUGUAAGUU